CCUACGGGUGGCAGCAGUAGGGAAUAUUGCGCAAUGGGGGAAACCCUGAAGCAGCAACGCCGCGUGGAGGAUGAAGGUUUUCGGAUUGUAAACUUCUUUUGUUAGAGAAGAGAAUGACGGUAUCUAACGAAUAAGCACCGGCUAACUCCGUGCCAGCAGCCGCGGUAAUACGGAGGGUGCAAGCGUUACUCGGAAUCACUGGGCGUAAAGAGCGCGUAGGCGGGAUAACAAGUCAGAUGUGAAAUCCUAUGGCUUAACCAUAGAACUGCAUUUGAAACUGUUAUUCUUGAGUAUCGGAGAGGUAGGUGGAAUUCUUGGUGUAGGGGUAAAAUGCGUAGAGAUCAAGAGGAAUACUCAUUGCGAAGGCGACCUGCUAGAACAUAACUGACGCUGAUGCGCGAAAGCGUGGGGAGCAAACAGGAUUAGAUACCCCUGUAGUC
This 440-nucleotide ribosomal RNA is filed under the name uncultured bacterium. RNAcentral describes it as "partial 16S ribosomal RNA". It matches the Rfam family "Bacterial small subunit ribosomal RNA", at positions 338 to 795 of the family's 1533-position model. The record is from RNAcentral.